ACAGAAUUUACAGAAAUCCCCUACCCAGUCCCACAGUCCUGUAAGCGGUUGAAGUCUCCGGGAAUUCACAGGUCGAAUGGAAUCGGUGAUCGUCCUGUCCCAUCCCAUGCACCUGUACUUCUGUACAGUUCUGCGUUGUACUGACUUCCGAGGUAUUCGGGUAAUAUCAAUUAGCAUUUAGCCUGUGCCGACCCCUUCCGGCCGGUGCGACAAAGGGGGCUAUCAUGAGAACUUGAAACGAUCGUAACUAACAAUUUGUAAUUAGUAGCAAUACGGAUGAACUCGCAGUUACUGAGCAACAGAAUGAAGGAACGA
This 315-nucleotide small RNA is filed under the name Histoplasma ohiense. RNAcentral's name for it is "hypothetical lncRNA". Lineage: Eukaryota; Fungi; Ascomycota; Eurotiomycetes; Onygenales; Ajellomycetaceae. The record is from RNAcentral.